Molecule: ribosomal RNA, 700 nt
Filed under: Bacillus sp. (in: firmicutes)
Lineage: Bacteria; Bacillati; Bacillota; Bacilli; Caryophanales; Bacillaceae
Also listed under: 1 other name
Description: bacterial SSU rRNA
Rfam family: Bacterial small subunit ribosomal RNA
Source: RNAcentral
GCAGUCGAGCGGACAGAUGGGAGCUUGCUCCCUGAUGUUAGCGGCGGACGGGUGAGUAACACGUGGGUAACCUGCCUGUAAGACUGGGAUAACUCCGGGAAACCGGGGCUAAUACCGGAUGCUUGUUUGAACCGCAUGGUUCAAACAUAAAAGGUGGCUUCGGCUACCACUUACAGAUGGACCCGCGGCGCAUUAGCUAGUUGGUGAGGUAACGGCUCACCAAGGCAACGAUGCGUAGCCGACCUGAGAGGGUGAUCGGCCACACUGGGACUGAGACACGGCCCAGACUCCUACGGGAGGCAGCAGUAGGGAAUCUUCCGCAAUGGACGAAAGUCUGACGGAGCAACGCCGCGUGAGUGAUGAAGGUUUUCGGAUCGUAAAGCUCUGUUGUUAGGGAAGAACAAGUACCGUUCGAAUAGGGCGGUACCUUGACGGUACCUAACCAGAAAGCCACGGCUAACUACGUGCCAGCAGCCGCGGUAAUACGUAGGUGGCAAGCGUUGUCCGGAAUUAUUGGGCGUAAAGGGCUCGCAGGCGGUUCCUUAAGUCUGAUGUGAAAGCCCCCGGCUCAACCGGGGAGGGUCAUUGGAAACUGGGGAACUUGAGUGCAGAAGAGGAGAGUGGAAUUCCACGUGUAGCGGUGAAAUGCGUAGAGAUGUGGAGGAACACCAGUGGCGAAGGCGACUCUCUGGUCUGUAAC